UCGGACAUCACCAGAAAAGCCGUUUGUGGGGCGCAUCAAACCAAAACCAGACGUCUGUGAUCGAAACCACUGUGAAGAGUUCAGUUUCUAUGUUUAUUAUCUAGCUCAUAUCUGAUGGUGAAACGGUGUGCGUGGGGUACCUGUAAUUUCGGACACCAGGUACCCUGAAAGACUGGAUGGAGGAGUAUAUUUCGUACCUUUUCCGAAGCCCAAAAGAAAACUCGACAAAUGCAAGCGGUGGAUUAUGCUGUGUCGUCGACCACAUACACAACUGAAUGUGAAGACAGUUAUCAAGGACACUUAUGUUUGCUCAAAGCACUUCAGAGAUGGGAAGCCAACUCUGGAAUAUCAGAUCCCAUCCGGGCUCUCGUGUGUGCUGCUCCGAAAAGACACAGACCCUCACCCAAAAGAAGAUCUGCAUGGGAGACGAUGGCGCGAUGCAGAGCGCUGUCUGUGAUUGUGCACAGGAGAUGUACAAAUGCAGCCACGCUGCAGCAUUGGCAAUAUUUGCCAUGUGGCAGAUCAGCU
Long non-coding RNA from Gymnodraco acuticeps, 528 nucleotides. RefSeq lists it as uncharacterized. The record is from RefSeq and is a predicted model, not a curated record. Lineage: Eukaryota; Metazoa; Chordata; Actinopteri; Perciformes; Bathydraconidae. The transcript has 3 exons.